RNAcentral lists this transfer RNA (76 nucleotides) under Candidatus Kerfeldbacteria bacterium CG_4_10_14_0_8_um_filter_42_10. RNAcentral describes it as "tRNA-Pro". It matches the Rfam family "tRNA". From Rfam's summary of the family: Transfer RNA (tRNA) molecules are approximately 80 nucleotides in length. Their secondary structure includes four short double-helical elements and three loops (D, anti-codon, and T loops). Further hydrogen bonds mediate the characteristic L-shaped molecular structure. tRNAs have two regions of fundamental functional importance: the anti-codon, which is responsible for specific mRNA codon recognition, and the 3' end, to which the tRNAs corresponding amino acid is attached (by aminoacyl-tRNA synthetases). tRNAs cope with the degeneracy of the genetic code in two manners: having more than one tRNA (with a specific anti-codon) for a particular amino acid; and 'wobble' base-pairing, i.e. permitting non-standard base-pairing at the 3rd anti-codon position. Lineage: Bacteria; Candidatus Kerfeldiibacteriota. The record is from RNAcentral.
CGGGGUGUGGCCUAGCGGCUAAGGCGCAUGCAUGGGGUGCAUGAGAUCGGAGGUUCAAAUCCUCUCACCCCGACCA